RNAcentral lists this ribosomal RNA (253 nucleotides) under uncultured bacterium. Its description in RNAcentral is "partial 16S ribosomal RNA". It matches the Rfam family "Bacterial small subunit ribosomal RNA", at positions 524 to 776 of the family's 1533-position model. The record is from RNAcentral.
UACGUAGGGACCAAGCGUUGUUCGGAUUUACUGGGCGUAAAGGGCGCGUAGGCGGCAAUUCAAGUCAGCUGUGAAAUCUCCGGGCUUAACUCGGAACGGUCAGCUGAUACUGCUUUGCUAGAGUGCAGAAGGGGCAAUCGGAAUUCUUGGUGUAGCGGUGAAAUGCGUAGAUAUCAAGAGGAACACCUGAGGUGAAGACGGGUCGCUGGGCUGCCACUGACGCUGAGGCGCGAAAGCUAGGGGAGCAAACGGG